GAUGAACGCUAGCGGCAGGCCUAAUACAUGCAAGUCGAACGGGAUCUGAGGGUAGCUUGCUACCCGAUUUGAGAGUGGCGCACGGGUGCGUAACGCGUGAGCAACCUACCCAUAUCAGGGGGAUAGCCCGGAGAAAUUCGGAUUAAUACCGCAUAAGAAUGUAUUAACACAUGUUAAAGCAUUUAAAUAUUUAUAGGAUAUGGAUGGGCUCGCGUGACAUUAGCUAGUUGGUGAGGUAACGGCUCACCAAGGCGACGAUGUCUAGGGGCUCUGAGAGGAGAAUCCCCCACACUGGUACUGAGACACGGACCAGACUCCUACGGGAGGCAGCAGUAAGGAAUAUUGGUCAAUGGGCGAAAGCCUGAACCAGCCAUGCCGCGUGCAGGAUGACUGCCCUAUGGGUUGUAAACUGCUUUUGUCGAGGAAUAAACCUAUCUACGUGUAGCUAGUUGAACGUACUCGAAGAAUAAGGAUCGGCUAACUCCGUGCCAGCCGCCGCAGUAA
RNAcentral lists this ribosomal RNA (504 nucleotides) under uncultured bacterium. RNAcentral describes it as "partial 16S ribosomal RNA". It matches the Rfam family "Bacterial small subunit ribosomal RNA", at positions 28 to 523 of the family's 1533-position model. The record is from RNAcentral.